UACAGAGGUCUCAAGCGUUGUUCGGAUUCAUUGGGCGUAAAGGGUGUGUAGGUGGCGCGCUAAGUCGGGUGUGAAAUUUCGGAGCUUAACUCCGAAACUGCAUUCGAUACUGGCGCGCUUGAGGACUGGAGAGGAGACUGGAAUUCAUGGUGUAGCAGUGAAAUGCGUAGAGAUCAUGAGGAAGACCAGUGGCGAAGGCGGGUCUCUGGACAGUUCCUGACACUGAGACACGAAGGCCAGGGGAGCAAACGGG
Molecule: ribosomal RNA, 253 nt
Filed under: uncultured bacterium
Lineage: Bacteria
Description: partial 16S ribosomal RNA
Rfam family: Bacterial small subunit ribosomal RNA
Source: RNAcentral